GACGAACCACACAAACGUUAUUCGGAAUUACUGGGCUUAAAGGGUGCGUAGGCGGCGCGGCAAGUUGGGUGUGAAAUCCCUCGGCUCAACCGAGGAACUGCGCCCAAAACUACCGUGCUUGAGGGAGAUAGAGGCGAGCGGAACUUAGGGUGGAGCGGUGAAAUGCGUUGAUAUCCUAAGGAACACCCGUGGCGAAAGCGGCUCACUGGGUCUCUUCUGACGCUGAGGCACGAAAGCUAGGGUAGCGAACGGG
RNAcentral lists this ribosomal RNA (253 nucleotides) under uncultured bacterium. Its description in RNAcentral is "partial 16S ribosomal RNA". It matches the Rfam family "Bacterial small subunit ribosomal RNA", at positions 524 to 776 of the family's 1533-position model. The record is from RNAcentral.